CCAGGCUGUACUUUCCAGAAAGGUAGGUACCAUUAUAGUUACAUCUAUUUUAAGGCAAUACUUACUAUAUGCAUAUUCAUCUCUCUAACAAUAAUUCUUUACACUGUAGGCUUGAGUUUUGUGGGUUUUUUUUUUUUCUCAUUCCAGAGUGAAAGGAAUAAAAUUCGUGAUGUGAGAUUUUUACAAAAGCAGAGUGGAAGAAGCCAAA
This 208-nucleotide long non-coding RNA is filed under the name Homo sapiens (human). RNAcentral describes it as "HSALNT0090816". Lineage: Eukaryota; Metazoa; Chordata; Mammalia; Primates; Hominidae. The record is from RNAcentral.